AGCUCAUGGGAGAAGAAGUCAGAUAUUUCUUGUUCUCCAAGAAAUCGCUUGGGUGUCAACCGCUUUGGUCUUUGAUCCUUAUUGAACUACUGACUGACUGACUGCUUGCUACAUAAAGCUUGAAGAAAUAAAGGCAUUUAUUUUCAUUUGCAGGGGCAUAGAGUUACAGCAAGGUCUAGUAACUGAUUGGUCAGCAGACAUUCCAGAGCCUUAUCACGCAGCUGCAAGGAGCUACGUGCUAGUAAGGGAGUGUGACCAGUAAAGAGCUAAGUGACUGCCUAAGUCUUUUUUUGAACAUGGGUUAAUGAGCCUAUGUUUUGUGAUCCUUGACAACGUCAGAAGCUGGGGAUGGACAUCCCAGGGCCACCCACGUCAAUGUGAGUAUUCUAGCAAGUCCCAGCAAGCAUGGAACUGUACCUUCUGGCAGUUCAGGAAUGAUUGGCAAGCUUGGGGCACCUCGCCAUGAACACAAACAUCCGUGCCCUAUGUUACCUGGCACAGUGCAAGUCACACAGGCUCCCACAAGGCAAACUCAGCCAUCUGCAGAAAGUUUUGUUGAAUGGAAGCGCAAUACUUCUCAAAUUGCUGAGAGGAAAUUCAUCUGGAGGUUUGCACUGACAAUGAAUGGACUGAAAAUGAAGAUUUGGUGAAAAAGAGUUGGAACUCCACACAAAGCAGUCUGCAGUGAGCCCCAUGCAAGGGGAAAGCAGAAGGUCAAUCUGUGAGCUCGGCUCCUAAAACAGUUUUCACACCUCACUGUGUAUUUUUUUCGGCACUAGAGAAGAGGAGAUAUUCGUCUAUUUUUUCAUUAGUGGUAUUUUAUGAAGUAAAAUUAUUUGUCCCAAACCUUAUUGAAGGAUACAAAAGUACUUUCUGUAAUCCAUUAAAAGAUUAGUGUAAAACCAAGUUGAAUAGCCAGUGUGUCGUUCUGUCAUCUGAAACUGGUGUCAUAUUUUAAUCAUAUAAGUACCUGAUAUGUGUUAAUAUUUUGUGAAGUUGUAUUCAUUAAUAUAAUAAUGUAAAUACUAGGUGGUUCAAAUAUGACAGGGACUGAUUUUUUUGUAAACAAGCCGCACUGCGCAGCAGCUGUGCGACCUUUAGAGAUUGUAGCCACAUCCUCCACUCUCCCUCCUGUUAGGGUUAGAACCUGUUCAGUGCUGUCUGGGAGUUGCUAGAGGGAUGAGCAUACAGAAGGUAUCAUGGAGCAUGGAACAAUGCAUUGUAAUCAAAUUCCUCAUUGGAGAAAACGUCCCGUCUGCUGAAAUUCGCCA
Long non-coding RNA from Cryptotermes secundus, 1271 nucleotides. RefSeq lists it as uncharacterized. Lineage: Eukaryota; Metazoa; Arthropoda; Insecta; Blattodea; Kalotermitidae. The record is from RefSeq and is a predicted model, not a curated record. The transcript is spliced from 3 exons.